This 236-nucleotide ribosomal RNA is filed under the name uncultured bacterium. RNAcentral describes it as "partial 16S ribosomal RNA". It matches the Rfam family "Bacterial small subunit ribosomal RNA", at positions 100 to 334 of the family's 1533-position model. The record is from RNAcentral.
CCGGCACGGGUGAGUAACACGUAUCCAACCUGCCGUCUACUCUUGGACAGCCUUCUGAAAGGAAGAUUAAUACAAGAUGGCAUCAUGAGUUCACAUGUUCACAUGAUUAAAGGUAUUCCGGUAGACGAUGGGAUGCGUUCCAUUAGAUAGUAGGCGGGGUAACGGCCCACCUAGUCUUCGAUGGAUAGGGGUUCUGAGAGGAAGGUCCCCCACAUUGGAACUGAGACACGGUCCAA